UGGGCGGCCGGAGAGGGAGAGGUGAGCGGUGGUGGGUGUAUACGAGUGAUUCAUACCAGCUCGUCCCGCUUCUCUUCUAUAUGAGAGCGCGCGCCUAUUGAUGUCAAGAGGGAGUUCAAAGUUAUUGAUUUGGACCGAAAUGCUUGCUCGGAGGAGGUGGUGUUGGCAUACCUGGCCCACCACAGAACACAACUUCUCCUCCUUGUUUGUUUUGACUCAUCCGACGUCUUUUCUCACCUUCCGAUGACCUUUUUAACUCUUUAUUUUGGGUCACACUCCUUGCAUUUAGUGCGCCAGAUAAAGAACCACCCAGUCCAGUCAAGAGGCCGACCUGCCAGCAUCACUGUUUAUGGAGCUUACUCGCUGAGAGAAAGAGCAAGGGGAAGGAUUCCAUUAAUUCCAGCCGGCCUCUUGACCUUUUGGCAGGCAGGCAGGCAGGCCCGUCAUUUGAGUUAUCAGGCUUCUUCCUGUUUUUUGGACCCUACCAUUUGUAUUCUGAGGAAGGGGGACGGAUUCCAUGCAUUCCAGCCCGCCUCAUGACCUUUCAGCAGGCAAGCGACGACCCGUCA
Long non-coding RNA from Dunckerocampus dactyliophorus (ringed pipefish), 569 nucleotides. RefSeq lists it as uncharacterized. The transcript is spliced from 3 exons. Lineage: Eukaryota; Metazoa; Chordata; Actinopteri; Syngnathiformes; Syngnathidae. The record is from RefSeq and is a predicted model, not a curated record.